This 333-nucleotide ribosomal RNA is filed under the name uncultured bacterium. RNAcentral's name for it is "bacterial SSU rRNA". It matches the Rfam family "Bacterial small subunit ribosomal RNA", at positions 468 to 793 of the family's 1533-position model. The record is from RNAcentral.
UUUGACGUUACCUACAGAAGAAGCACCGGCUAACUCCGUGCCAGCAGCCGCGGUAAUACGGAGGGUGCGAGCGUUAAUCGGAAUUACUGGGCGUAAAGCGCAUGCAGGCGGCCUGUUAAGUCAGAUGUGAAAGACCCGGGGCGUUAACCUCGGAAUUGCAUUUGAAACUAGGCAGGCUAGAGUCUUGUAGAGGGGGGUAGGAAGUUUCAGGUGUAGCGGUGAAAUAGCGUAGAGAUCUGAAGGAAUACCAGUGGCGAAGGCGGCCCCCUCGGACAAAGACUGACGCUCAGAUGCGAAAGCGUGGGGAGCAAACAGGAUUAGAUACCCUGGUAG